RNAcentral lists this ribosomal RNA (427 nucleotides) under uncultured bacterium. RNAcentral's name for it is "bacterial SSU rRNA". It matches the Rfam family "Bacterial small subunit ribosomal RNA", at positions 355 to 796 of the family's 1533-position model. The record is from RNAcentral.
UAGGGAAUAUUGCGCAAUGGGGGAAACCCUGACGCAGCGACGCCGCGUGAGUGAUGAAGGCCUUCGGGUCGUAAAGCUCUGUUGCAGGGGAAUAAAAAAAUGAAUGUACCCUGUGAGGAAGGAUCGGCUAACUUCGUGCCAGCAGCCGCGGUAAGACGAGGGAUCCUAGCGUUGCUCGGAAUCAUUGGGCGUAAAGCGGGUGUAGGUGGCUUUGUAAGUCAGGUGUGAAAGCCCAGGGCUCAACCCUGGAAGUGCAUUUGAUACUGCGAAGCUUGAGUGUUGGAGAGGUCAUCGGAAUACCUGGUGUAGUGGUGAAAUACGUAGAUAUCAGGUGGAACACCGGAGGCGAAGGCGGGUGACUGGCCAAACACUGACACUGAGACCCGAAAGCGUGGGGAUCAAACAGGAUUAGAUACCCCCGUAGUCC